Molecule: long non-coding RNA, 320 nt
Filed under: Monodelphis domestica (gray short-tailed opossum)
Lineage: Eukaryota; Metazoa; Chordata; Mammalia; Didelphimorphia; Didelphidae
Description: lncRNA (ENSMODG00000034705.2)
Source: RNAcentral
GUUUUCAGGGAUGGGAACUGGAAGCUCUUGAAAAUGAGGACUUCAGAGGUGGAGUUAAGAUGACAGCUUAGAAGCAACAAAAGUUCAGACCUCUGAAAACCCUUCCUUACAGAUCACAAACUGAAUGCUCCUAGGGGAUUGAAAUUCAAACUUAACAACAGGACAGAGCUGUGGAACCCUGCUUCUGGACUCAAAUCAAAAGUUUCAUAGGUUAGAAUGAAUUACUAAUGAUGGAUGACUUGAUUGCCUUAAAAGAGAUGAUUCAAGAAAUGAAUGAUGAGAAAAAGUAAAUAUGAAAGAUCCUAGAGGGACAGCCUCAA